Molecule: long non-coding RNA, 453 nt
Organism: Cinclus cinclus
Lineage: Eukaryota; Metazoa; Chordata; Aves; Passeriformes; Cinclidae
Exons: 4
Source: RefSeq, a predicted model, not a curated record
UAGAUAAACUUGUUUAGUUUUGUUUGGAAACUUCUUGAGAGAUGUUGCCCAAGUUCCCUCGCGUGCAUGCACAGUGCAAGGUGCCUGCUGCUACAGGAAACCACUGAAACCUCCAGUUACAAGCAUCACAGAAUCACAGAGUGGUUUGGGUUGGAAGAGACCUUAAAGAUCACCUAGUUCCAGCUUCCUUAACAUGGGCAGAGAUACCUUCUGCUAGACCAGGGUGCUCCAAGUCCCAUCUAACCUGCCUUGAGCACUUCCAGGGAUGAAGCAUCAACAGCUUCUCUGGCCAACAUGUUCUGCAUCAGCUGUGUAGCUCAGAUCUUGAUUUCUACGCUAUGGAUAUCUUACAUUCGAUGAGAUAGAUCCAACCAAUUAAUGUUUCCCCCAGAAAGAAAUGUACGAAAGUUUUAUUCCCUAAUAAAUGACCACGUUAAGGCCACAGCUCUUCAU